GGGGAUAUAGCUCAGCUGGUACAGUGCUUGCCUUGCAUGCAAAAGGCCCUGGGUUUGAUUCCCAGCACCA
RNAcentral lists this transfer RNA (70 nucleotides) under Ictidomys tridecemlineatus (thirteen-lined ground squirrel). RNAcentral's name for it is "Spermophilus tridecemlineatus (thirteen-lined ground squirrel) tRNA". It matches the Rfam family "tRNA". Rfam says of the family: Transfer RNA (tRNA) molecules are approximately 80 nucleotides in length. Their secondary structure includes four short double-helical elements and three loops (D, anti-codon, and T loops). The record is from Rfam by way of RNAcentral. Lineage: Eukaryota; Metazoa; Chordata; Mammalia; Rodentia; Sciuridae.